CCUACGGGAGGCAGCAGUGAGGAAUAUUGGUCAAUGGGCGCGAGCCUGAACCAGCCAAGUAGCGUGAGGGAAGACGGCCCUACGGGUUGUAAACCUCUUUUGUCGGGGAGCAAAGCGAGUCACGUGUGACUCAUUGAGAGUACCCGAAGAAAAAGCAUCGGCUAACUCCGUGCCAGCAGCCGCGGUAAUACGGAGGAUGCGAGCGUUAUCCGGAUUGAUUGGGUUUAAAGGGUGCGCAGGCGGAGGUGCAAGUCAGCGGUCAAAUUGCGGGGCGCAACCCCGUACUGCCGUUGAAACUGCAUCCCUUGAGUGCGCGAGAAGUAUGCGGAAUGCGUGGUGUAGCGGUGAAAUGCAUAGAUAUCACGCAGAACUCCGAUUGCGAAGGCAGCAUACCGGCGCGCAACGGACGCUCAUGCACGAAAGCGUGGGUAUCGAACAGGAUUAGAUACCCUAGUAGUC
This 459-nucleotide ribosomal RNA is filed under the name uncultured bacterium. RNAcentral's name for it is "partial 16S ribosomal RNA". It matches the Rfam family "Bacterial small subunit ribosomal RNA", at positions 338 to 795 of the family's 1533-position model. The record is from RNAcentral.